GACGAACGCUGGCGGCGUGCCUAACACAUGCAAGUCGAACGGAGCACUUCGGUGCUUAGUGGCGGACGGGUGAGUAACACGUGAGCAAUCUGCCUUUCAGAGGGGGAUACCAGUUGGAAACGACUGUUAAUACCGCAUAACAUAUCGAGAUCGCAUGAUAUUGAUAUCAAAGAUUUAUCGCUGAAAGAUGGCCUCGCGUCUGAUUAGAUAGUUGGUGGGGUAACGGCCUACCAAGUCGACGAUCAGUAGCCGGACUGAGAGGUUGAACGGCCACAUUGGGACUGAGACACGGCCCAGACUCCUACGGGAGGCAGCAGUGGGGAAUAUUGCGCAAUGGGGGAAACCCUGACGCAGCAACGCCGCGUGAAGGAAGAAGGUCUUCGGAUUGUAAACUUUUGUCUUCUGGGAAGAUAAUGACAGUACCAGGGGAGGAAGCCUUCCGGCUAACUACGUG
This 454-nucleotide ribosomal RNA is filed under the name uncultured bacterium. RNAcentral describes it as "bacterial SSU rRNA". It matches the Rfam family "Bacterial small subunit ribosomal RNA", at positions 28 to 507 of the family's 1533-position model. The record is from RNAcentral.